CCAGCGCCGGCCCGCGGUGUACAGUUAGCGUCAAAUUACAGCAAUUAACCGGGCACCGGAAUUUAAUUACACAGCCCUGCCCCUUUCCCACCCCCCUCAGUCCUGGGGAGCCUCCUGCUCGGGGCGACGCGGAGAGAAGACGGCUCCGUGCAAAACGGGAAAGGGAUGGGGAAGAUGUACAGAGAUUUCGGGCUCUGGAAGCCUGCCGCCUCUCCUUUCCCCGCUUGCUGCUCGUCCUACCCCCUCGAGCCCUCUCUGGGGGGGAAGGGAGGAGGCAAUUUUGGUCCCGUAACCCUUAAGGGCACACCCGGCCCGUGUAGGGGACUGAAAUCGCCGCGCCCUGAGCUGCUGUCAUCCCUGAAGUGCCAGCUCCGUCUCGCCCUGCCUCCUCCUUGUGCAAAGGGAAGCUGAGGCACCUUCUCUCCUCAGACAAAACUGUCUUCUGGUGCAAAGACGUGUCCUCUCUCCUCUGUGUCACACCGUCUGGGUCACAGCUCGGUAGGGAUUUUGGCAGGUGGCUCUGAGGGAGUCAUCGCGGAGCUCUGUGCCCCCUGAAUUAUUUCCGAUGGGCGCGCCGGGUCCCUCCCCGUGUGUCACAACGCGGGGAGCACACGGGCAAAGCCCUACCCGCAUCCCUUUCCCUACACCGGCAGCUUUCUUAUGGCUGAAAACCCGGCCACGGAUCUCUUCCCAACGAGAAAGUGGGGAAGAGACGGUCUUGGGGGUCAUUCACCUUCCCGGCGUCGAGGUUCCCCGGCCGGUCUGUUACCGACCCCACCCCUGAGUGUCCCCACAGCCCGGCUCUCAGGUGCCGGACGGGUCUUUCCUCCUCCCUCCUGCCUGUUCUGCCGGCCCCCAGGGCGAACCGCAAGACCGUUUAGAUAAACCCGGCUCCUGAUUCUCUGCGGGGAACUUAGGCUUGGUUAUUCUUCUCACUGUGGCUUUUCAGUUCUCCCUGCCUCAGUGCCGCCCGGCUGGGGAGAAACUCAACGCGGCUGAUUUCCGCCGGCUCACUGACACAUAAAUAGUUUUUCUCCUUUUUUUUUUUCUUUUUUUUUUUUUUC
Molecule: long non-coding RNA, 1064 nt
Filed under: Cyanistes caeruleus (blue tit)
Lineage: Eukaryota; Metazoa; Chordata; Aves; Passeriformes; Paridae
Description: lncRNA (ENSCCEG00000001897.1)
Source: RNAcentral